GAUGAACGCUGGCGGCGUGCCUAAUACAUGCAAGUCGAACGAACAGACGAGGCGCUUGCUCCUCGGACGUUAGCGGCGCACGGGUGAGUCACACGUGUAUAACCUACCUAUCAGACUGGGAUAACUUCGGAAAACCGGAUCUAAUACGGUAUAAUAUAUUGCACCGUGGGGUUGGAUGGUAAAAUACGGUUGUGCGGGCACUAAUAGCGGCUUCUCCGCCGGAUUGGCUGGUUGUGACGGUAAUGGCUUACCACGGCAAGCAGGCGUAGCCGACCUGAGAGGGUGAUCGGCGACACUGGAGCGGAGACAGGGACAAGGCUCCUACGGGAGGCAGCAGUAGGGAAUCUUACGCAAUGGGCGAAAGCCUGACGCAGCGACGGGGCGCGAGUGAUGAAGGUCUCCGGAGCGUAAAACUCUGUUAUUAGGGAAGAACAAAUUUGUACGUAACUAUGCACGUCUUGACGGUACCUAAUCAGAAAGCACCGGCUAACUACGUG
This 497-nucleotide ribosomal RNA is filed under the name uncultured bacterium. RNAcentral's name for it is "partial 16S ribosomal RNA". It matches the Rfam family "Bacterial small subunit ribosomal RNA", at positions 28 to 507 of the family's 1533-position model. The record is from RNAcentral.